RNAcentral lists this long non-coding RNA (23120 nucleotides) under Selaginella moellendorffii. Its description in RNAcentral is "long non-coding RNA (SMOE_LNC000309)". The stretch from base 2985 to 3115 matches the Rfam family "Eukaryotic large subunit ribosomal RNA", at positions 2194 to 2324 of the family's 3401-position model. The record is from RNAcentral. Lineage: Eukaryota; Viridiplantae; Streptophyta; Lycopodiopsida; Selaginellales; Selaginellaceae.
UGGACGAUACCGCAGAUCUCCUUGGUCUUGGAGUGACACUGCAAUUGAUCAGUAAGUAAAUGUUUGUCGCUGCCAAGAACAUCCUCACCUUUGAGUAUUGUACAGGUGCCAAGACAGGAAAGAAGAGCAAUCCCGCAAACCUUGAGAAGUGGUUGUUUUCUGGAGGAUUAUUUGCUACGGACGAUGUCAAAUACACUGUGAAGUUUUCAGUGGACCCGGAUUUCGGACUGCCUGGAGCAUUUAGCAUCACGAAUAGUCAUCCAAGUGAAUUUUACCUUGUCUCUUUGACUGUCGAGAUGCCUGGAGGGGGGAAGAUCGUUGAGUUCCCUUGCUAUUCCUGGGUUUACAAUUCGAACCUCUACAAAACUGACCGUCUGUUCUUCAGUAACCAGGUAGGCUCUGCGUGGUAAAGAUCUCUGACUGUUGUAUCCUUACGAAUUCUUUCAGCUCUACCUGCCAAACGAGACACCGACGGGCCUGACAAAUGCUCGAAAGAGUGACUUGAAAGCCCUGCAAGGAGACGGAACGGGAAUUAGACAAGACUGGGAUCGGAUUUACGACUACGAUACUUACAACGAUCUGGGAAAUCCACUCCUCAACAUGAAAAGACCAACAUUGGGCGGAUCGACCGAUCUUCCUUAUCCCCGCAGGUGUCGCACCGGUCGAAUUAACAUCAACGGAGGUCUGAAUAAGAAAAAAAAGAAAGAAAGAAAGAAAGAAAGACACUAAUUAAUGAUGUUUGCUGUGCAACAGUUGAAACUCUCACGUUGACCCCGCUAAAUAAAUUCUACAUACCAAGCGACGAACGAUUUGGCUCCGUGAAGAACAGUGACUUCCUGGCCGACGGUCUCAAGGCACUGACUCACAGCGUCCUUCCAGCUCUGGAAAGCAUCAUCACGUUUGACCAGACGUUUGAUUCGCUCAAGGAGAUAAAGGACCUGUAUGACCAUGGAUUUGAUAUAUCCGAGCUUGUCACCUCACCAGUAAGGGGGAUGCAAACGCCACUCGAGUUCUUCAACGAGUUCACCGCAGACACCGGGAACACCAGCUACAUGAAGUACCCACUUCCGCAAAUCUUAAAAGGUAAUGCUCUUCAAAUGCAAACUCGAAAAACAAUGCAUCUAACAUCAGGCAACUACAGUGAAUGAGAAGGGAUGGAUGACGGACGAAGAAUUUGCAAGACAAAUGCUGUGUGGAGUGAAUCCUAUGAUGAUUCAAUGUCUAAAGGUAAGUUCAUGAUACUCACAGCCAUUAGCCAACUCUUGAGUUCAGGAAUUUCCACCCAUGAGCACUCUGGAUCCUGAAAAAUACGGACCAUCAAAGUCAGCUAUCACCGAGGAACACAUUGGCAGUCAGCUAGAAGGCUCAACCGUACAACAGGUUCGUUUUUUUCUUACGUACGAGUUCUAAGUUGACUCUCUAACCACGCAAAUGCAAAUGCAGGCAGUGAGUGACAAGAAACUGUUUAUUCUCAGUUAUCACGAUGAGUUCAUGCCUUACCUUGACAAGAUCAACUCCCAGAGAUCUUCUUACGCUUACGCAUCCCGAGUUCUCCUGUUUUUGAAGUCGGAUGGAACUCUCCGGCCUGUAGCCAUCGAGCUCAGCACACCGUAUUCUCAGAGAGUCUUCGUCCCACCGGCAGCUGGAACAACCGAUUGGCUCUGGGAGCUCGCGAAAGCACACGCCGCCACGAACGAUUCUGGAUAUCACCAGCUUGUCAGUCACUGGUAAGCCAAACAUUUAGAGAAGAAACAAACAAACAAACCUCUCGUAUCUGUUGUGAAGGCUAAGGACACAUGCUUGCAUCGAGCCGUUCAUCAUCGCGACCCACAGGCAGCUGAGCAAGCUUCAUCCUCUAAACCCGUUUCUGCAGCCACACUUCAAGCACACCAUGUCAAUCAACUCGCAAGCGCGGCAAAGCCUCAUCAAUGCAGCUGGAAUCAUCGAGCUAACUUUCACUCCAGGAAAAUACUGCAUGGAGAUGAGCGCCGUGGUUUACAAAGGCUGGAGAUUCGACGAGCAAGGCCUACCAGCAGAUCUCAUCAAAAGGUAACACAAACAAAACAAAACAAAUGCUGGCACUGACACCACUCAUUAAAACUCGGUUCCAGAGGGAUGGCUGUCCCAGACUCCACAGCAAAGCACGGACUCAAGCUUGCGAUCGAGGACUAUCCAUAUGCCGCAGAUGGUCUCGAAAUCUGGGACGCUCUGGAAAAAUGGACGUCCAGUUAUCUCGACGCUUGCUACAACGACGACGAAGCAGUAGCAAGCGAUGCAGAGCUCCAGGCCUGGUGGAACGAAGUAAUCAAGAAAGGCCAUGCAGACAAGAAGGACGAGCCAUGGUGGAUCAAGCUGGACAGCAAGAAAAACCUGGCUCUAGCGCUCACCACUAUAAUCUGGGUAGCGUCGGCCCAUCACGCAGCCGUGAACUUUGGCCAGUAUGCAUACGCUGGCUACAUGCCCAACCAUCCCACCGCCACUCACAAGGCAAUCCCGGCUGAGAACUCGGACGAACACAAGAAGCUGCUGGCAAACCCUGAGAAAUUCUUCCUCGAGUCGGUCUCGAGGAAGCUGGAAGCGAUCCUCGUCAUGCUCACGCUCGAGAUCCUAUCCACUCACGCGUCGGACGAGGAGUACCUGGGGCAGCGUGCCAUCGCGAACUGGACGGAUAAUCCCAAGGCCAAGGCCGCCUUCCAGAAUUUCACCGCCGCGAUGAAGAAUGUGGAGGGCAUCGUGGCGCGCCGCAACGCCGAUCCAUCGCUCAAGAACAGAUUGGGGCCCGUGCAUGUCGCAUACACGCUGCUCUCGCCGGCAUCGGAGAAAGGGAUCACUGGCAAAGGCGUGCCCAACAGCAUUUCCAUCUGAGCUAUGAACCCUAAAGAAGAGGAAAGGUCAAUAAUAAGAUUAUUCGGAUAUAGUGGAGCGUUUAACCGAAAUAUUGAGUAUAUAUUGUUUUAAAUAUAUUUAUAAUUAAUAAAUAUAUUAAUCUUAGAAUAAAAUAAUGUGUCAAAGUGAAUAAAUUCAAUCAAUUGUAGGUAAAUUGGCAAGAGUGAUUAUGAUUCUUUUAAGGUAGUUAAAUGCCUCAUCAUCUAAUUAGUGACAUGUAUGAAUAGAUUAAUUAGAUUCCUAAUGUCCCUAUUUACUAUCUAGUGAAACCACAACCAAGGGAAUGAACUUGGAAAAAUCAGUGGGAAAGAAGACCUUAUUGAGCUAAGAAUGGGAAUUUUUAUAUUUAACCUCUAAAAUACCAUUUCAACAUGCUUGAAAUUGGGAAAGAGUAUGGGGGCUAGUGACAAAGGGAAGGAUCAAUGGAAUGAGAGUUUAGUUAUGUGUAGUUUAAAUCCACACCAUUUACUCUAUGAAUGCAUGCUCCCAAUCCUUAGUGGUUGUGAAUUCUAGAUCUUAUCAAUGAUCCCCAACCUUGUCUUUCCUAUGUGAUUGUGCCUAUUAAUGUGAAGGACUUGAGUCAGUUGUGAAAUUGGCAUUUAUUUCUCAAAAAUAUAAAAAGCCCUUAAACAGUCUUGAAUCCCAUGAUGUGGUGAACUAAAGAGUGUACACUGUUUGGUAAUAGUGACACUAUUGCUGCCUAGAAGCCUUCUCCUUGAUGCUAUAUGGUUAAUCCCUUCCAAUUGGUGUUGUCAUCUUUGUCAACAGGGUUUUUAUGUUAUUGAAAUGUGUAUUGAACAAUAAAUUUAUAUGCCUUCAUCAUUAUUUGAGAUUAGUAAAGAAUGUUGAAGAUCAUUACAAAUACUUUUUCUUUACUAUCACUCUUAUUUAGCCUUUAUAAAACUAUAGUGUCUAGUUUCUAUAUGAUUGAAACCAGAAAAGAGCAUUAUUAUAUAUGGGUGGGGAGGUAAGUCAAUAUCCAUUAUAGCCCAAGUGGUUGAAGUUUUCAAUGGACUUAGGGAAAUACACAUUUUAUUGUUAGACAAGUGCUGCCAAAGCUGUAGUGGUGGUUUCAAUGUCCAUUCAUCUUCACUAGCCUCAUUUUCAUGCUAAAGAAGGGCUAUAAAGUUUGUUCCUUGGUAAUCUUUCCUUCAUCUCCUCUCUUUAUAAGUGUGUCAAGUUAGGAUGCUAAUGAGAUAAUCAAUUGAGACCAAACUUUUGAGAUUGUUGCUUGAGCUGAGGGGUUUUUGUUAUCGAACAUCCUAGCACAGCGAGCCUUUCAAAUCUCCACAAAAGUACAUCCUCUAAAGACAUCAAAUAACUUUUGGUACAGAUGCAUGAUGUGUGUGCUUAUUUAGUUGAGCUGAUCAAAGUGUGGAUUCUCACUAAGUCUCCAUUUCUAAGCAUCCAAGUGUUUUAUCUUUCCUUGGAUGAAGCAACCCAAAAUGUUGAUUUAUAGAUUAUAAUUGCACCAUCUUGAGAGGAUUGUUUGAGAAUUACCAUGAAGCCUUCCCACACAUCUUAUGCUACUGAACAUUCCAUAGGAUAUGGCAUUGUGUCUUCAUUGCUCCACAGUGUGCAAGUUGUGUCUAAGAGGUGGAUUGCCAAGAGUGAGAGGAGACACUCCUACUGGGUGGGCCACAUAAAGUAUUGGGUCUUGGUAGAUUAGUGACCUUUCUAGAUUUUAUUCACACAUUGUAAGUAGUUCUGGGAGUGAAUAUGUUGUACUCUCACUUGAUAAAUGUGGAUUGCACUGGGGUACAAGCUACUCCUCAUCUGAGUUUAGUCUUGUAUUAAAAGAAGCCUUUGCAUAUGUCCCUCAAUUGCCACUUUGCGAGAUCCCAUUUUAGUUUAUUUGAUAUCUAUUAGCGAAACUAGUAAAGUCGAGUGUAUUGUCUCUCUAAUACAGCUAGGUUUACAUUUGUUGUCUUUUCCUCCAUUUAAAUAAAUUCAAUAGUCAUUAGCUCUAUCUGGCUAGUGAAAUGAUGAAGAUAUCAACCAUACUCUUAAACUGACCUCUAAAAAGGAUAUGUAAAUAGUUAUGUUAGGGUCAUAAGUUGGGUACAUCCAAUGGCUUUAAACCAACUAGCACAAAGUGCCAUUUCACACUAUUUCUUAUAACAUUUUACUAACCAUCUAUUCUUAAGUUUGGAUGAUUGUGUCCCAUAUACAAUCAUUCAAGAUGGUGUCUACCAUGCCACUAGUAACUUUUGCAAUAAUGCAGCUACCACACUACUAACAACCUUUGUAGUCAGCAUAUCUACCCUUGUUAGGCACCAGCUUUGACCACAUAGUCAACAUCGGUCAAAAGGAGGCUCAAGGGUAUAUUAAAACAUGUUAAGGUAAAAAACUUAACCUACCCUAGGGCUCAUAAUGGAGUGGUAGCACAGUGGAGCUUUUGAGGUAGCUCAAAGGUGGUUGGGUGGUGAGGAACCUUAAGAGGAGGCAUAGUAUAAUCUAAGAAGGUUCUCUGUCUUUUUGCACUGAAUCAUAACAUUGGUAUUAAAGCCUAAUUCAAUUCUCAUGGUAACAAGUGGGGUAAGAAUAUUCUACAAGAAUAUUCAACAUGGUGGAUCUAGAGGAACGUAGUGGAUCUAGAGGGAGAACCAAAGUUUGGUAGACCUUAAGAGAAGGACCAUAGUGACUGGAUGGUGGCCUAAAUAUGAUCACGGACGAUCAUUCCCUAGUGAGGGAAGGAUUGUUAGGUAUUAGAUCAGGAUAAUAAGAUAAAAAAAGGGCCUCAUAAUCAAAUGAUUACCCCUUUAGCCAAUUAGCUUAGGGUGUAAGGGAUAAAAUCCUAACAAUCCCGCCAUGAGUAGCUUCAAAAGCUAAAAGGGCAAUUCCCCCAAUACCACUAUAACCUCAUGAGCAUCAGUGUAAUGCAUGUGAUUAUGAGAUGAGAUUUGGAUAUACUGUCAUCGUGGAUUCUUAGAACCUUGGGAGAUAAAUGGGGAUAAAAUAGCUACUAAGGGCUCUCUCAUCAAGCAAUUGCCCCUUUUUCCAAUUAAUUUAAGGGGAGAGAGAUAAGAUGCGCUACAAUCAAUCCUAAUAGACACAACUUCCCCACCACCACUAGUAUUAGUAAAUACCUCGCCACCAAUAAAUACAGCCUCAAUAACAGUAGCAUCAAGACUAACAUAAGCUUUUACCUUAGCAUCCACCUUAUUAUUAUGCUCUUUAUGGCCUUCUUCAGUAUGACUAGUAGCAACUUCAUUGGUUACUUAAGAUCAAUCUCCACUCAAUUAAGGUUGCUUUUUCCUAGAGACUAGAACUAUUGAGGCUCGCCUUGACACUUCCUCUAAAAUAAAAAAUAAAAAAUUAAAAUAUCUAACUUAUAAAGCAAAAUUUACUUAUGGCAUUAUAAGUUUAAGUCCCUUCUUGGUCAAACUUAAUUUAUAUAUGCUCUCACAAGAAAAGUUUGUAAAUAAAAAAGUGUAAAAUAGAUUGUAAACUACAAGAAAUGCAAAGAAAAAUAAUGAAAGUCACUGAGAAAAGUUGGUUUGCCAAUCUUAUUCUACCUCUCUAAAAUUCAGAAAACAAAAAUUCUUAAGACCGAGAAGGAAAAAAAAAAAACUACAAUAACAUAGAAGAGGUCAAUUUGGGCAAGAAUUGACAUCUUUCACCCUUCAUUUUUUACAAGAAAAUUGUUAUCAAAUUCUUAAAAUCAAGAAAAAAAUAUCAUAAUAUUUUUUAAGAUGAUGAUUUCACAAGAACUUAUGUUUUUGUCUCUCCCUAUUUUCUAAAUUAUAAAAACCUCACCCCUAGCAGUAAGAAAAAAAACCAAGACAGCUUGCCUCUAAGAAAAAUGAAGUUAGGGAAAUGUUAGUUCACAUGUGAAACCCCUUCAACAAGGAAAAAAAAAAUAAUGAGGUAAAUAUAGAUAAAAGAAUGAAAAAACAUAAAAAAUAGAAUGUUAGAAGAUGUUGUUUCACACAAAAAUCAAUAUCUCCAUCCCUCUUAUUGUUCAGAAAAAAAAAACCAAAAAUCAAGAAAAAAAACUUCUAAUAAAAGAAAAAAGAUGAGGAAAUAUUAAUUUAUGCACGAACCAACCUCUCCUUUGCCAAUCUCUCAUCUCACAAAAGAAAAUGAUCACAAGUUGUAAACUAUAAAUUACUAAUAAGUUGGGAGUAAUAGAUGAAAAGUAGUAGUUAAAGAGAUUGAGGAAAAGCCUAAAAUAUAUCUUGGAUUUUUAGUGUUUUGAAAAGUGUUUAGUAAUCUGAUUGAAAAGCAUCUUGAAGUGCAUUGUAUAAUUGAAAUGUUCUUUACUCAAACCUUAGCUGUAAAACUCUAAAAAUAAAUAAUCACGAUCAAUGGUCAUGAUUUUUAUUCUCUUGAAUGGCGAUUGUUUUCUAGAUUCUAGAGACUUUAAUUUUGCAAAUAGUAGGAUAUAUUUAUUGGACAAAUCCUUUAUAAAUAAAGAUUUAAUGUGUUCUUUACAAGGACAUGAUCAUUCAAUGCUUUAGAUAUUAAGAUAUUAUUCUAGUAUGAUGCUAGAAACUACAUUACUUUGAAUAGAAUGUUGUUUGCAACAAUGCAACACGUUGAGAAGAUAACUUCUUACUUGCCUAUAAUUUAAGUUAGUCCCUUAAUUUUGUUAUUAUUUUGUGAUUUUGAAGAUCAAAGUUGUAUUGCCAUCCAACUUAGAAUUCAAACCAGCAAAAAACUUUUAAGGAGAGUCUUACUAUAAAAGUACUUAUGGAAAGGGGGUUUGCUUGUGAGCUAAAUCCUAAAAGCACUCUUAGAAGUGUCAUCUAGAACCAUCUAUUUAGUGGUAUUCACAUCCAUUCACAAGUACCUACCACCCUUUGUUUCCAUAAAAAAAAGCCAAAGUUGUGCUUUUUUUUAAACAUUUUUUACUUCACUUUUAUUGCAAGUUUUACUUUCAACCAUAAAAAGCUUUUUAUGAUAAAAAAUCUUCAAUAUGAGAGUAAAGAUAUAAUAUUGCUUCGAUUGCUAAAAUGUCACCCCAAGCAUAAAUAACAGCAUGUUUCAACAUAUUAUAGAGAAGAUCAGUCAGAAGAGUAAUUAUCUCUAAGAAAUCCUUCAUAAAUCAUAAAAAAAAACUCCAAUCAUAUUAAAAAAAACUAUGGAGAUUAUGUAUUAUCAAAGGUAAAUGUUAGUCACUCAUAACUUGGAUUUUUUCAGGAUCAAGCCACACAUCAUACACUGAAAUCAAAUGUUUAAGAUAUCCAAUCUCUAAGAAAAACUUGUAUUUAAAUAACUUCAAAUAAAGUUUAUUAUCCAUAUAUAACUCUUUGCAUAUAUAUUUUAUGUUCCUCCAUUGUAGAGUUGAAUAUUAGGAUAUUAUCAUGCAAUCUUCCUUAAGUAAGUGUUGUGAAUGUGACUUUGGGUAUUGAAAGAUACUUGUCGACCAGUCUUUACGGGCACUCUUUCCUUAUUACCACGACGGCAAAAGGUCGGUAUUGCUGGUUCCCUUUAUUGGCCCCUCUUAUCCAAGUGUUAGUAAACUGGACUUAGCAUCUGUACUUAGCCGGAUGAGCAUAAGGACGGAAUUCCUAAGUGUCUAUUUGGCCAAACAUACUUGGCCCGGCUUUUGAAUUCUCUUUUGCUCUGUCUUGCACUGGCUUGGCAAGAACCCUCGCGUAUUGAGACUAGUCCCUUAAUAUCGCCAGAUGAUAGCUUACCAUGUCUGCCAAACACCUUCGCUAUCACACCCUUUGUGUUAGUCUCAUUUCGGUCCUAAGUGCUAUUUAUGGAAAGUGUCUAAAUUCACUCAUUUGGCAUGUCUACAGAAUGCAGAGGUCGGCCUGAACACAAUGGUGUUCAUCCCAUGUCCAAAUUCGCAAUCUAAGGCUAUUCCAUAUUUAGUAAGUUUCGAACUUGUCCCAGAGACUAACUCCUGGUACUAAGGGUGGCUUGGGGUGAAAGCCCAAAGCGUGUGUUCCUCGAGGGGGGGGGGGGGGGGGGGGGGGGCUAAUGGGGGGUUCCACAUGUAUAGUAGGGAUAGUGGUUGGAAUGCAUAUCCGACCACUUGAGACAUUAGUUUGGUUCCCGCUGGGCUAUGUCGCUCCUUGUUCUGCAUUCAGCUUUGGUCUAAGCCCAAGCUCCAUGCUGCUCUAGACGGUGGAGUACCCUCCUCCUCGUGUUAGGCCACCGGUAUGCCAAAAUUGUGCCAGACUCCGUCUGACACCAUUUUGCGUGCAGGUGUUAGAUACGAGGAGCUGGUGCUCGUGGGAUUGUACUGGACCCUCGUUCGUAGUGCAACGGGCUUGGAGUUCGGCUCCAAAUUCAGGUGCGUUACAUUUGGUAUCAAAGGAAUUGUCUUAGUGAUUCCUAUCCAACUUUUGUCGGAUUUUCUGACUCAAGUUGUAUACGCAGAGACUUUUCUAGUAGAUCCGAAGCGACUUGUGUAGGAUUAGUUGGAUAGCACCAUUCGGUAAGAAUGUUGUAUGCAUGUUCAAUUACUGAUAGAGGCAUGCAUGCAGCUAGCAGGAUGGUGAAGAGGAACCGUGUUGAUGAUGCUGAAACCUCUAGACGGGCUAAUCGAGAGGAGGAAACUCCUGCUAGAGAUGUUGUGGAAGAGGCUAAGGCUGAGUCAGAAGAGGAAGAGCCAGAUGUUGCGACGCUGCAGCGUACGGCUCAGGAAGUCGAGAUCGAGAAUUUGCGAAGGGAGAAUCGCAAAUUGAAGAAGGAGAACAAGAAGAGGAAGAAAGAAGUUGAGGCAGCUAAACCAGCUAAGCCUAAGCAACCGAACUCCUCCUCAAGUUCUGAGGACGAUGAAGUUCUGCAGCCACCCCCGGUUGCACGAGUUUCAAAGUUCAAGCCUCUGAAACCACCCAAUUUCAGAGGCAUGCAGGACUAUCAGGUUUUGGAAGACUGGGCCUACGAUAUGGAAAAUUAUUUCAUAGCGGCAGACGUAGAUGAUCAUACGAAAGUUGCGUGCGCGCAAUCCUUUCUUACCGAUCAUGCCAAAACUUGAUGGCACCAGGUGUGUGCUGAAAAAGGGCAGACUAGAAGUUGGACCAAGAUGAGGUCUCGUAUCCGUAAGGAAUACUUGCUAGAUGAUCUUGGUCUAAGACUUCGCGCGGAGCUGCGACGGUUAAAGCAGCAAGGGGACCUUAUGCAUUACGUUAAUGUGUUUGCUCAAAAGCGCAUUAUGAUUGCAAAUAUGAGUGACGAAGAUGCUUGGAGUUAUUUUCUGGAGGGUUUAAGUUCAUUUUCUCGCAAUGAGAUUUUGAAGUUUAAGCCGAAGACAUACCUGGAGUGUAAGGAGGCAGCGCAACAAGUUGCCUUUAGUCACUCGUUCAUGGAACAAUAUCAGCAACCGCAUGUUGGUAACUCAGAUAAGAAUAGGAAUUCUGGGAAUAAGCAAGGUGAUUAGAAACAAAGGGUGGAAAGUAGGUACCACCUUGGGGGCUCACAAGCUAUGGUUAAUAAAGGUGGUGGUGGUUGGAGACCACCAGCAGCUUCUUCUGGUCCUAGGCCCUCUGUUCCUCCUCUUGGUGGGUACAAGCAACAGCACUCUGCAAAACCUGCUCCUAGCGGAACAGGUAGUGUGGGUCAUUGCUUCCAUUGUGGAGAGUCGGGACAUAUGUCCUCAGAAUGUCCCAACAAGCAUAAGACAAGGUCUCGCGUUAAUGUCAUGAGGGAAGACAGUGGUGGUGAAGUUGAAGGGGUUGAUGAGUUGGUCAAUGCAGACUAUGAAGAAGAAGAGAUGAGUAACUUUCGUUGCUUUCCUCAAGCUUUUCUUGCAGUCAAUGCAAACACUGAUUUGUUGAUGUAUUUGGUAGGCUUUGUUCAUGGACACCGAAUCCGAGUGAUGAUUGACAUGGGAGCUACGCCCAGCGUGAUAUCCGAAGACUUAGUUAAGUUGUUAGGAUUGAAUGCUGAGCAAAUAUCACCUAUGCACUUCCAGUUUGCAGAAGGUGGGCAAGUAGCCAGAAAGUUUGUGAGUGAUGUUCCAAUAAAGAUAUCUAAGUGGAAAGAAAGAGUGGACUUGAUAGUGUUGAAGAUACCAGAUUUUUAGAUGGUGUUUGGUAUAGAUUUCUUCAAGAAGUAUAUAAAAGGGAUUUAUCGUGCUGGACAAAGUCGUAUCACAUUGAAGUCAGAAGGACAUCCUGAUGUAUCCUUUUAGUUGCAAAAGCGUUCCUCAAAGGAUUGGGAUGCAAAGUUCCUGACUACGAGGGCCGCUCAAAAAGCAGCUAAGAGGGGAUGUCAGACCUUUUGGGUUCAAGUGAUGGAAGCUGAGGGUGUUGGUGACUCAGUUCGAAUCGGCGAUGGGGUUGAUCCUAUACCAAAGAGGAUAUUGGAGUUAUUGGCGAGGAAUUAUGAUAUCUUUCCGAAGGAUUUGCCGCCAGAGCUACCUCCUAGCCAUGAGGUUGAUCAUCGGAUUGAGGUUAUUCCGGGUUUUAAACCACCUACGAAAGCUCUAUAUCGGUUGAACAUUAAGGAGAUGGCUGAACUCAAGAAGCAACUCAUGGAGCUUCUUGACAAAGGUCAUAUCCAACCAAGCAAAUCACCUUAUGGAGCGCCGGUCCUUUUUAUUAUGAAAAAAGAUGGAACCAUGAGGAUGUGUAUUGACUAUCGGGCACUCAACAAGAUCACGGUUAAAAAUAGUUAUAUUUUCCCUCGCAUUGAUGACCUGUUUGACCAACUCUUAAAGGCUAAGUAUUUUACGCGACUUGAUUUGCGGUCCGGGUAUCAUCAGAUACGGGUGGCGGAUCAGGAUGUGGAGAAGACAGCCUUUAAGACUUGGUACGGAUCUUAUGAGUUCCUUGUCAUGCCGUUCGGGUUAUGCAAUGCUCUGGCAACGUUCAGCAUUAUGAUGGAUAGAAUAUUCAGAGAUUAUUUGGAUGCAUUUGUUGUCCUGUAUAUCGACGAUGUUCUAGUCUUUAGUGAAACGUUGGAGGAUCAUUUGAAACACUUGGAGCUGGUGUUUCAAAAGUUGCGCGAACACAAACUAUAUGCUAAGGAAAGUAAAUGCGGUUUUGGACAAUUGCGCAUAAACUUUCUCAGACAUAUAGUUGGUGGUGGCGUGAUUGAGGUCGAUCCAAAGAAGGUGGAAGCAAUGAAGUCCUGGGAAGUUUCGACCACUGUAUCAGAUGUUCGAUCUUUUCUCGGUUUGGCGGGAUACUAUCGCAAGUUUGUCCGCAAUUUUGCAAGGAUUGCUCUUCCGUUGACUGAGUUGACGAAGAGUAGUAUUCCAUUUCAUUAGACACCAGCUUGCUAGCGUGCUUUUGCACGGUUGAAGGAAAUCUUGACUACGGUUCCUGUUCUCAGGAUCCCAGAUCUUGAUAAACCCUUCAAAGUGCAUUGUGAUGCAUCUGGUUAUGCUAUUGGUGCCGUGUUACAGCAAGAUUGUGACAAAGCGGUUGGUGUUACGCUAAGGUGACAUUGUUGUCCUGUUGCGUUCUAUUCCAAGAAAUUGGAUGAGACCCAACGAAGAUGGCCAACGCAUAAGAAAAAGAUGUUUGCUAUAGUGUCGGCCCUGGAACAUUGGAGACACUACUUGGGUGGACAUACCAAGGUUUAUAUAGAUAGUAACACACUAAGCUACUUUGCUACGCAGCCUAAGCUUACGCCGAAGCAAGCUCGUUGGCAAGAGAAGCUUGCUAGAUAUGAUAUUGAAAUCAUAUAUAAACCUGGUAAAGACAAUAUUGUUUCGGAUGCGUUGAGUCGUCAGGCUCAAUUCCGGGCAAUAUCGGCAAUCAGUUCGGACUGGUUGGUGGACGUUUGGGCUUCGUAUGGAAGUGAUCCAUUGGCGAAGGCAAUCUUAUGCCGUGCGGGGUUGUUGAAGCAGAGCCCUAGUAGCGAAGCAGCGAAAGUUGCUAGUCGCACUAAUGCGAAACUUCACUUCUCAGUUCGAGAUGGGCUUAUAUUCUAUAAGCAAGAAAGAUUGUAUCUUCCCUCUAAGAAUCUACAACAGUUGUUUCUGCGGGAACAUCAUGAUGUUCCGACAGCCGGAUAUGGUGAGAAGUGAAAGACUCUGGCUUCAUUGAAAAAGGGAUUUUUCUGGUCUGGUAUGGAAGGUGAUGUAGUGGACUAUGUUCAUUCUUGCCCUAUAUGCCAGCAAUGUAAGCGCAGAACUGAGAAGCAGGCUGGGAAGUUGCAGUGCAUUCCAGCACCGGCAUGGCCAUUUCAAAGUGUGACACUUGAUUUUGUCACUUGUUUGCCGAAGUCUAAGGGUUAUGAUACUUUGAUGGUGGUUGUGGAUCGGUUGUCGAAGAUUGCACACUUCAUUCCAACUGUGGGCAUAGUAAAUGCGAAACAAGCAGCAAAGCUCUUUUUUAUGAAGUAGUGCGGGUUCGUGGUCUUCCUGAAGAGAUGAUCUCGGAUAGAGAUUCGAGAUUUACGGGGAAGUUUUGAGGCACACUAUUCCAGUUGUUCGGUACCAAGUUGAAGUUUAGUAUGGCUUAUCAUCCUCAAACUGAUGGGCAGACCAAACGCGUGAAUGCUCAAGUUGAGGAUUAUCUGCGGUACUAUGUCACAGCGGACCAACGUGACUGGGUUGAGCAUUUGGAUACAACAGAAAUCUGUUAUAACAACACAUUUCACAGCGCUAUCGGUUGUUCUCUAUGGGAGAUGCUGCAAGGAAAUGCUCGUAGGGUUCCUCAACAGAUCGUUAUACUGAAACCAAUGACCAAAGUGUUGGUCCCAGCCGUUGAAACUUAUGCGGAGCAGCUACGCCAAAGUUGGUCUAGAGCUACUGAGGCGAUGGGCAAAGCUCAGGAUAGGUAUCGACGUGAUAAGGAUUAGUAUUGUCGGGAUGUAUCCUAUCAAGUGGGAGAUCAGGUGUGGCUAUCUUUCCGAAACUUGAACAUUAAGGGUCUUUUGUCUCGGAAACUCUUGCCGAGAUAUGUUGGACCCUAUCGGGUGUUAAAACGUCUUGGUGAUGUAUCCUAUCGGUUGGAUCUGCCUACGGAGAUGUCCAAUGUUCAUAAUGUAUUUCAUGCCAAUUUACUGGCUCCUUACGCUAUGGAUGUUGCACGUCAACAAGAGAUUCGUCCACCGCCAGAUGUUGUGGAUGGUGAACUUGAAUAUGAAGUAGAAGCUAUUUUGGAUUCACGCUGGCUUAAACGUGCCAAACGUCGGGAGUAUCUAGUUAACUGGAAAGGUUACCCAACUUGUGAAUCAACUUGGGAGCCCCUUAGUAAUCUUACCCAUGCUCGUGAGCUUGUCACGGAGUAUGAGAAUAGUAAUAAAAAUAACAAUUAGCUUUUACAAACCUUGUAAUAAAUCUUGCAAAUUAAUAAAGAAAUAUAUAUUUUUAUCAAUCAAAGUGUCAUUUCUCUCGUUCGUUAGUAGUUUGGCAAGCUGACUUCGGCACUUCGGUGCAUGGGUUCAUUCCAUAACCAUAGGGUUAAUUAUUAUAGACUGAUCACAAGUCCCUGCCUCUCUCUCGAUGACUCAUUUUCAAAAAGGGGCAUGGUCGUGUAAACAACUUGAUCUGCCAGUUUAUAGUAGUUGUCUAAAUCUUCCCGAUGGGGUUGAUUUCUUACUCAAGGGAAGUUGGGCCUCUGGCCUUCUCCCUAUAUCCCUACGGGCAGGGAUGUAUCAUUCCUUUGUAAGCCGAAUGGUACUCGGAGCAGCAAGGGUGGCUAACUCUUUUAGUUAUUUCCUUGUCAGUGAUGGCCAGAGGGUGUCUAAGUCUUAACGUCUUUGGACAUAGAGGAGAAGUCGUUCCAUAACUCAUUUAAGUCGGUGUGUUUCCCACAUAGUGUGCUUUCCGUUAAUUUUCGGAGUUGUUUCCUUGACGGUUUGCUAGACUUGGGUAUGCAUUGACGAGGACGUCGAUCUUCCCCAAGGGGGGGAGAGUGUCGCAAAUGUGACUUCGGGUAUCGAAAGAUACUUGUCGACCAGUCCUUACGGGCACUCUUUCCUUACUGCCACGACAGCAGGAGGUCGGUACUGCUGGUUCCCUUUAUUGGCCCCUCUUGUCCAAGUGUUAGUAAACUGGACUUAGCAUCUAUACUUGGCCGGAUGAGUAUAAGGACGGAAUUCUUAAGUGUCUAUUUGGCCAAACAUACUUGGCCCGGCUUUUGAAUUCUCUUUUGCUCUGUCUUGCACUGGCUUGGCAAGAACCCUCGCGUAUUGAGACUAGUCCCUCAAUAUCACCGAAUGAUAGCUUACCAUGUCUGCCAAACACCCUCGCUAUCACACCCUUUGUGUUAGUCUCAUUUCGGUCUCAAGUGCUAUUUAUGGAAAGUGUCUAGAUUCGCUCAUUUGGCAUGUCUACAGAAUGUAGAGGUCGGCCUGAACACAAUGGUGUUUGUCCCGUGUCCAAAUUCACAAUCUAAGGCCAUUCCAUAUUUAAUAAGUUUUGAACUUGUCCCAAAGACUAACUCCUGGUACUAAGGGUGGCUUGGGGUGAAAGCCCAAAGCGUGUGUUCCUCAAGGGGGGGGGGCUGUGGGGGGUUCCAAAUGUAUAGUAGGGAUAGUGGUUGGAAUGCAUGUCUGACCAUCUGAGACAUUAGUUUGGCUCCUGUUGGGCUAUGUCACUCCUUGUUCUGCGUCCGACUUGGGUCUAAGCCCAAGCUCCACGCUGCUCUAGUCAGUGGAGUACCCUCCUCCUCGCGUUAGGCCACCAGUAUGCCAAAAUUAUGCCAAACUUCGUCUGAUACCAUUUUGCAUGCAGGUGUUGGAUAUGGGGAGCUGGUGCUCGUGGGAUUGUACCGGACCCUCGUUCGUAGCACAACGGGCUUGGAGUUCAGCUCCAAAUUCAUGUGCGCUACAGUAAGGUUAUAAAACUUAAUUUGUCAACCUUUAAAAAGUUGUAAAAGCAUUUAUCAAACCAAAUGGCAUCACUAAAAGCUUAUAUUAACCCACUUUCACCAUUUGCAAAACAUUCUCUAACUUAAAAUAAAUAUGACAAUGCCCUUGCCUCAACUUUAUAAAAUACUGAGUAUUACAAAGACAAUUACGUAAAUUAUCGAUAUGAGGGACUGAUAAUAUAUUCUUCACAAUUUUAUUGUUUAAUCCUUUAUAUUUAUGAAGAGAUCUUAUAUAUCAUCUUUUUAAUUAAUUAUCACUAUUGGAGCAACCCAAGGAGACUUAUUUAUCCAUAACUACCUUUUUUAAAGGUAUUUAGUAAAUUAUCUAUUGAUUUCCUCAUCUUUAGUGGAACUAGUAUGAGUCAAUAGUUGAUUGUAGCUCCAGGAAUUAAAUCAAUCUCAAAAUCCCAUAUUCUAGAAGUAAACUAUCAAGCAACUCAUCUAAAAUAUAUCACAAAACUCCUCUUGAAUAUAAUUCAUAUGAGCUUUAUGUCUACAAAUGCAUUCCAAAUAAGGUGUUUGUAAGAUUAAUGUAAAGAUCACAAAACUUACAAGCAUACUAUCUAAAGAAAGUCCCCUAUCCAAUCUCUAGGAAUUAGUUCACAAGAGUAACUUUUUCAAAAUUCUUUAAAAAUGAAGCACAUAAAGCCUUUAUCAAAUUACUUAAUUUUAGAUUAACUUUGAUGAGUCAUAAAAAAAUUAAUUUUCAUAUUAUCUUUAUAAAGGUUAUAAGAUUACCAACUUUUCUACAACUUCAACUAGCAAUCAGCCUUUUUAUUGCCAUAAUCAUUUGAUGAUGACUAUCAUUUCAAGAUACCAUAAUCCUUGAUUUACGAUACUAUAAUCCAAUAGUAAUUACAGACAUGAAAUUGAUUCAAACUUUGAAAUUUUAUAUGAAGCAAGAAAAUUUUUAAUGAGAUUGAUGGAAUCUUUCACCUCCUUAAUAUCAUUAUGAAUCUUAGUAAUGUAGUGUCCUUUCCUCAUGACAACAUCAUUAAAGCUAAGUUAUAUAUGUGGUGUCCCUAAUCAAGAUCUUAGAAUUUUUAUUAGAUCUUACCAUUAUUUGAAUAGGGUGCAAUAUGAAUUAAAGGAUGAGAUAAUGACCUUGAUGAAUGAAGAAAAGUUACACUCCUCUAUAGCUUUGAUUAGUUUUGUUAUUUCUUCUCCUAUCAAUAAUACACUUAUUUGAAUAUGGCAAUUCAACAAUGUGUUUAAUGGAUUUUUAAGUCAGGAAAUUCCACUCAAGGUUAGUUUAUUGGAGAUAUGUACAUCAAAGAAUGGAAUUUGCAUUGGUGGUAUUUAUUCUACACUUCUUUGAAAGUUGUUGAUCCAAGUCAUUAGAAAAACUAUUUUCAAGUUUUUGUGUCCACAAUCGAUUUCUUUUAUGAUUUAUUAAAUGAUAAUCUCAAUACAAAUCCUCUAUGAAGUUUUUGUAAUAUUCUAUAACUUUAUGGCAAAAUAAGUGGCCAUCUCUUUGUAGCAAUUAGCUACAAUAGAGAAGUUUGGAUAUCACUACUCAACUUGAAUCAAGAUAUUAAAGAAAUUUUUAAAAGCAAUUGUAAAGAAGUAUAUUAUGUGGGAAAAAGGAAAGAGAUUUAAGAUUGCAUAAUUUCCUAAAUUAUAUUGGAGUUAUCAAUUGCACACACACCUAAAUAGAGCUUCCAGGUGAGGAGAUUACAAAUAACAAUUCAACAUACAAGUAUAAGUUAUCGUUGAUAAUGAAUCUUAUUUUCUAAACUUGAGAGCUAGAUAUCUAGGAUUUGCAAGUGAUUAGAGGGUUUAAGCCACAAAUAACUUCAAGUCAUAGGUUACUCUUGGUGAAAGACUAAAUGAUCCUAUUUACUAUACAAGAUUUGGAAAUUAUCCCUAAGUAUUUAAUAGUAGACUUUGAGAAGGCUUAUGACCGAGAGGAUUAGCAUCCCAUAAGUAUGAUCAAACAGAUAGCACUAUUGUAUAAAAGAGCAACCAGCCGAGUCAUGAUUAAUAGGGAGACAGGACCUUCUUUUCAACUAGGCCACUUGGUAAGGUAAUGAUGCCCCCUGACUCUAUACUUGUUCUUAAUUGUAGCUCCCAAAGACAGAAGUGGUGGCAUGAGAAUUGGAUGGAGCUUUUGUUGAUGACAUGGCACUCUUCCUAUAAGCCACUAUAGAGAACCUGGAUAGAGCAAAGGAAUGACUAAAAACUUUUAACUUGGCUGUCAGAGUGGCAAUCAACUAGAACAAGUCAGUCAGGAUAAACUAGGGAAACCUUGGGUUCAAAUCCUGUGGACAGGCAAUUGACUUCCAGUGGCUGAAACCUUGAGAGGAUAUGAGAUACUUGAGGAUCCAGGGGUUAAGUAAAACAUAACAUUGUAAGAUGGCAUCUUGUGGACACUGGUCUAGAAAUGGGCUCCUAGGAAGCUUGGCCUCUCAACUAGGACUGUGGUGGCAAAGUCUGUCAUCUUGCCAAACAUAUGGUACCAUAUCUCAAUCUGGCUGCAAUCUGGUAUAUACUUACGUUUGGCAGGGUGCACUGAUGAUAGGGAGGAUGAUGGGCAAGGAAUUCCAUCCAUGAGUGUUGGGAGGACUCAAUUUCAUUGACCCCAGUGAUAUGGCCAAGGCUCUAAGGUACAAGAUCAUUCUCAUGGGACUCCAACCAAGUAGACAGCCAUUUAUCCAUGGCACAACAUGACUUGCCCAUGGGCCAAAGACCCGUGUUGGUUGUUUGCUGAAGGCCCAAUAUAGGUUGUGAAAGGGGUCCUCUUAUCCAGGGACUCCACAGGUUAUGGAACUCUUUUCCCCUAGGAUAGAUUAGACUAAGCUGCAUUGAGGAUUGGCUCAACCAGCCACUUUUUUUCAAUGCGCUCUUUAGGGAAGGGGAUCAGACAUUAGGCGGGGAGGACCACUACACCAUCUGGAGAGAAUUUCAUGUCGGGGGGUAGCAGCUGGUGGACAUAGUAGACAGGGAUAUGUUCAAAACAGCAAUCCAAAGUUUUGGAAUGGGGAAAUGAUGGAAAGUGGAUUAGAACUUGUUACAACUCCUCUAGGCUGUCAACAAUGCCAAAGGAGGAAGAAAAUGGCUAUGACAAUGCGCACAAACUGGAGACUUCAUAGCGAUCUAAUAAGAAGCACAACUAAAAGGUGAGGAAUGCAAGUUAGAAUCAAGGGCAUUUACUGCACUGAUGCUGGCAUGGACAGAGGUGGACAUUGAGGUAUGGUUCAUUACCUCCCCAGAGAAAAACGAUGGCCAUCCCUUUUCGAUUGUGUGGGGAGACAUGCUGGUGAUGGCUGGAGAGGUGUAGCACAUGCCCACAGUCAUGAAUAAUGAAGUAANNNNNNNNNNNNNNNNNNNNNNNNNNNNNNNNNNNNNNNNNNNNNNNNNNNNNNNNNNNNNNNNNNNNNNNNNNNNNNNNNNNNNNNNNNNNNNNNNNNNAGCAAUCAACCAGGAUAAUAGAUGUAGUCGAGUCAGAGGGAGAAGGAUGAUGGAGGAUCUUGACUGGGACCCAGCUGCUUGGAGGAGAGGCAACAAUGGUUUUUCUCAUAUGAUGUUAAGGAGUCUUGUAACAGACUCCACAUGAGGGUGAAAGGGAUGAAAUCCCUGGAGAAAGUGGAUUGACGAAUGCAUGGAAGCGGAACAUGUCAUAGACAACAUGGUAACUUUCUGGAAGCUCCCAAUUUAGGAGAAGGUGAAGAUCACCUCAUGGCUGGUGGCCAAUAAUAGCCUUCCAGUAGAACACCGUUUUCAGGAGGAAACCAGCCAGUGCUGCUUGACACGUUAUGGGAGUGUGACUUAGUGAAGGAGGUAUGGAGAUAGAUCCUUAAAGUGUUCAAGGACUUACAGCCAAUAUGGAGGUAUGCAGUGGAAAUGUUCUUCAUUGGUUUGAAGAGUCAAGGGGCUCAGCAACAGGAUUGGCUUGGUGAAGAGUGCGGUGUCGGGGACAACAUGGAUGGGGUAUCCACAUACAAUGGGAUCUGGUGGGAGCGGAGCAGGGGGUUUUAGGCCAUGACCGUUGGGCAAUAUGGAGGGCCACAGGAGUUGAAGAGAUCUGGGAAGCACGGAACAGUCUCUGCUUUGAUGGUUAGCAAGCACGAGUGUCGGCUGUAGUAACAAACUGGUGGGCAGCACUGAAGGAUAGAAAGACACCAGUAGGGAUGAACCACUGGAGAAGCAUAUGGCUUGUUUUGGGGUGGACUCUAGGGGGGAGAUACACUGGAGGUGGAGACCCCCAGGGGACAAAAUGCCCCCUAAUUGCUCUAAUGAUAAUCCCUUGUCCUGGUUGCAUGGAAAUGUACAGUUACAUUUAUCUACCCAGGAUCCCAAGUCUGGAAUUAAGAGUUGUCAUGACUCCUUAUCAAGAUCAAUAUCUCAUUCCUCCACCAUCCCCAAAAGAAUUGAUAUUAAACAAGGUUAGGCUUUCCUAAAGUCUAUAAAAUAUUCUUAAAAUAUUUCUAUAGCCCGCAACAUUGAUAAAUUUAGAAAUUCAGCAUAUUUCUAGGACUAAUAAUAAUAUUUUUAUUCUCUACACGGAUAUUCGAAAUAGAAUCUCUGAAAGUGAAAAUACAACUUUCACCUUCAUACCAUUUUGGUUCAUUCCUACAAGACGAAAACUACUACAGCACUUUAGAUUCUCAGUCCAAAAAACGAUUUCAUAGCUAGACUUAUCAAACAGAUCCAUUUUCUCCCCCUAUGGACCAAUACCGAGCCAGCUCGUCACCACCACGAUCAAAACUCCCCUCCCCAAGCAAAACAAGACCGUGAUUGUCGCCACGCAUGGAACUGACACCCAUCCCAGAACAAAUCCGAAGGCCCCAAGUUAAAUGGCCCUGGAGUGAAGCUCUUGGCGCGGAAAAAUAUCGGGAGUGUGUGUGCAAUGUAGAGGCCGAUAGAUACCAUAGCUUGAAAGGCAACGCUGCUUCCCAAGUACUGGAGAAAUACCAAAAACCACGGUGGUGAGUCAAGCAACGAGAAAUAAUAGAGGAUGAGUAGCAACUCAAAAGGUAUAAAGUUCUUCCAUGUUUGGAUCUCUUUUUUCCAAUCAUUUUCAAGGAUGGCCUAUGCUCUCAAGGGAUGCUUCUGGCACACUCGCGGUGUGUGCGUUUUGCAUGGCUCUUCCGGUAAGUAUCCCACAGAAAAAAAAUGGGCACGGCAGGCAAACUAUGCUUCCGGUUCCAGUGCCGUAUUUAUCCUUGAAAAUGGUGUAAAAGAGUUGGGCUACGGCAUAACCUUUGGCGUCGUUGUUUGGAUCAAGCAAGAACCCGAUGUCGCUGAUCGCCAAAGUGAUUCCGAGAAUGUAACCAUCCAACGAUGACGGAUAUAACAACGGCACUUAUAAUUCCAAAUGCACCGUUUUUGUCUGCUGAUCUGGUCUCCUCGGACUGCAUGAGACGAUGGUGAGGACAAAUACAAACCAGAAAGCCACCAUAUGAGCAGAGGCAUCGUAUCCAAUAAGUGUGUAUUGGCUCAUCAAAAUUCCAAGAAGAAAAAUAUACGGAUAGCUGUGAAUACCUUCGUUGUUCACUGUGUUGAAAUACUUGAAAACAGCCAAUCAAGUUCCACAAAGGUACCGAAAAAAGAGAGGAUAUGAAUUGGCAGGCUAUUUACUAGCCCGUGAAGAAACAAAAGGUCUGCAUGGAAUCCUAUUACGCGGCAUAAUAGCCACGACCAUUUGCACCACCAGUGCUCAGUAGUACCAUCACUUGAAGGAGAGUGGCUUGAGAAAGGUCUAUGCUUGUCGUCACAGGCCACUGAAUUUGAAACACUAAAAGAGAAGAAAAGAGCGAGAGCUAGAAAGACACACCUGACCAACAAUGUAAAGAAUGAAUGAGAGAGUAAACGAAAGAGCUUACCAGCCAGUGAUCCAUGCUUGCAAACGGACCCCAGUUCUCGCCAGCUAGAUUGAAGCUCCAGAAUUAGAGUCCUAAGAGUACCACCUAUUAGCGGGAUGGACUCAGGCAGAGCAAAUGACUCCAGCGGUGGGAUGGGAUUCGCGUGCGUCGGUCUGAUCGUAGCCCCACGGACCCAGCACGAGAAAGAGACUCUUUUCGGCUCCUUCUAAGAUAGUUUUCUUAGUCCGUCGACAAUUUUAUAUGCAGCUACGAAAGUAGGAUCAACAGUAGGUCACUGAUUCUCACGUCACCUUGCAUGAGCUGUUACAAUUUGAUUCCUCGGUGAGAAAGAAAAAUCUGCCUGUAGCCUCAAUCACAUGAUACUAAUCAGUCCCACCUUCUUCACGUGUACGCCUCAAGCUGCGUAUAAAUCUGCAACCCCUUGCAGUCGAGGAAAACAUUAGCUUACAACUUGCUUUCCUGCUUUUGUAUACUCUUGCAUCUUGCUCUUCUAGUAUGGCGCUUCUCGGAGGCAUAGCUGGAGCCUUGUUCCAGGAUAAAGGCUCGUCUAAGAUCGUCUAUAAAGGCGCUGUCCUCGUCCGGAAAACUAAUGUCCUCGAUGUCACCAACGUUGGAGCUUCGGUGGUGGACAAUACCGCAGAUCUCCUUGGUCUUGGAGUGACACUGCAAUUGAUCAGUAAGUAUCUGUUUGUCGCUGCCAAGAACAUCCUCACCUUUGAGUAUUGUACAGGUGCCAAGACAGGAAAGAAGAGCAAUCCCGCAAACCUUGAGAAGUGGUUGUUUUCUGGAGGAUUAUUUGCUACGGACGAUGUCAAGUACUCUGUGAAGUUUUCAGUAGAUCCGGAUUUCGGACUGCCUGGAGCAUUUAUCAUCGCAAAUAGUCAUCCAAGUGAAUUUUACCUUGUCUCUUUGACUGUCGAGAUGCCUGGAGGGGGGAAGAUCGUUGAGUUUCCUUGCUAUUCCUGGGUUUACAAUUCGUCCCUCUACAGAACAGAGCGUCUGUUCUUCAGUAACCAGGUAGGCUCUGCGUGGUAAAGAUCUCUGACUGUUGUAUCCUUACGAAUUCUUUCAGCUCUACUUGCCAAACGAGACACCGACGGGCCUGACAAAUGCUCGGGAGAGUGACUUGAAAGCCCUGAAAGGCGAUGGAACGGGAAUUAGACAAAACUGGGAUCGGAUUUACGACUAUGAUGCUUAUAACGAUCUGGGAAAUCCACUCCUCAACCUGCAAAGACCAACUUUGGGCGGAUCGACUGAUCUUCCUUAUCCCCGCAGGUGUCGCACUGGUCGAAUUAACAUCAACGGAGGUCUGAAUAAGAAGAAAAAAAAAGAAUACUGAUUAGUGAUUUUCCUGUGCAACAGUUGAAACUCUCACCUUGACCCCGUUAAACAAAUUCUACAUACCAAGCGACGAAAGAUUUGGCGCCGUGAAGAACAGUGACUUCCUGGCCGACGGUCUCAAGGCACUGAGUCACAGCGUUCUUCCAGCUCUGGAAAGCGUCAUCACGUUUGACCAGACGUUUGAUUCGUUCAAGGAGAUAAAGGACCUGUAUGACCAAGGAUUUGACAUAUCCGAGCUUGUCACCUCACCAGUAAGGGGGAUGCAAACGCCACUCGAGUUCUUCAACGAGUUCACUGCAGACACCGGCAACACCAGCUACAUGAAGUACCCACUUCC